Molecule: ribosomal RNA, 464 nt
Filed under: uncultured bacterium
Lineage: Bacteria
Description: partial 16S ribosomal RNA
Rfam family: Bacterial small subunit ribosomal RNA
Source: RNAcentral
GACGAACGCUGGCGGCGUGCUUAACACAUGCAAGUCGAGCGAGGCCCCUCCUUCGGGAGGGUGUCCUAGCGGCGAACGGGUGAGUAAAACGUGUGCAACCUGCCCUCAGCUCUGGGAUAACUCCGGGAAACCGGGGCUAUAUCCGGACCGACCUUCUCGCGCCUUUGGGGGGGCGGGAGGUGGGUUGGCUGGGGGUGGGCCCGCGGCCCUACCGCUAGGUGGUGGGGUAGGGGGCCACCAAGGCGAAGCCGGGUCACCGGCCUGGUAGGGCGACCGGCCACACUGGGCCUGAGCCACGGCCCAGACUCCUACGGGAGGCAGCAGUGCGGUAGAGUGCGCUAUGCGCUGAAGCCUGACGCAGCCACGCCGCGUGGGGGAAGAAGGCCUGCGGGUUGUAUACCUCUGUCCGCAGGGACGAAGCGAUAGUGACGGUACCUGCAGAAGAAGCACCGGCCAACUACGUG